ACUAACGAACAGGGGUGCUGCAGUUGCGGCUGAGAAAUACCCUUUGAACUUGACCCGGUUAGUACCGGCGUAGGGAGUUUGUAGUAAGCACAU
This 93-nucleotide non-coding RNA is filed under the name Oligella urethralis. RNAcentral's name for it is "TPP sequence". It matches the Rfam family "TPP riboswitch aptamer (THI element)". From Rfam's summary of the family: Vitamin B(1) in its active form thiamin pyrophosphate (TPP) is an essential coenzyme that is synthesised by coupling of pyrimidine and thiazole moieties in bacteria. The previously detected thiamin-regulatory element, thi box was extended, resulting in a new, highly conserved RNA secondary structure, the THI element, which is widely distributed in eubacteria and also occurs in some archaea. Lineage: Bacteria; Pseudomonadati; Pseudomonadota; Betaproteobacteria; Burkholderiales; Alcaligenaceae. RNAcentral also lists the same sequence under 1 other name. The record is from RNAcentral.